RNAcentral lists this RNase P RNA (515 nucleotides) under Novosphingobium sp. P6W. RNAcentral describes it as "bacterial RNase P". It matches the Rfam family "Bacterial RNase P class A". From Rfam's summary of the family: Ribonuclease P (RNase P) is a ubiquitous endoribonuclease, found in archaea, bacteria and eukarya as well as chloroplasts and mitochondria. Its best characterised activity is the generation of mature 5'-ends of tRNAs by cleaving the 5'-leader elements of precursor-tRNAs. Lineage: Bacteria; Pseudomonadati; Pseudomonadota; Alphaproteobacteria; Sphingomonadales; Sphingomonadaceae. The record is from RNAcentral.
CCGGGGAGCCGGGCAGCCGCGUCCUUCGAAAAGCUCAGAUGAGCGAGGCGAAGGCCGAGGAAAGUCCGGGCUCCACGAAACAAGGGUGGCGGGUAACGCCCGCCGGGCGAGUGCCGCUCAUCCUGAGCUUGUCGAAGGAUCAGCGGCGCGAAGCUUAGGGAAAGUGCCACAGAGAGCAGACCGCCAACCCCGCUCAUCCUGAGCUUGUCGAAGGAUCGAAUGGGAAGGUAAGGGUGAAAGGGUGCGGUAAGAGCGCACCGCGCUGCCGGUAACGGUAAGCGGCAAGGUAAACCCCACUCGGAGCAAGACCGAAUAGGGGCUGCGCGCCGGCGCUGCGAAAGCGGGAGAUCGGCGGGUUCGUUUCGAGCCCAGGCAGCCCGGGUUGGUCGCUUGAGCGGUGUAGCAAUACGUCGCCUAGAGGAAUGGCUGCCACCGCGGCGUAAGGUCCCCCGGACUUCGGUCCUAUGGGGAGACCACGCCAGGAACAGAACCCGGCUUACAGGCUCCCCGGCGCA